RNA transcript from Betta splendens (Siamese fighting fish), 898 nucleotides. It is a transcript of the gene named 2-iminobutanoate/2-iminopropanoate deaminase-like, with no coding region annotated. The transcript is spliced from 6 exons. NCBI's taxonomy places the organism in Eukaryota, Metazoa, Chordata, Actinopteri, Anabantiformes, Osphronemidae. The record is from RefSeq and is a predicted model, not a curated record.
ACUCGUUAGCGUCACAGUCAGUCUGUGGAGCCUGAGGGAAGAAACAGGAGAACAUGUCUGCACUCCACAGAAAAAUCAUUCACACGACGUCGGCUCCGGCCGCCAUCGGUCCGUACAGCCAGGCGGUGGUUGUGGACAGAACCGUGUACAUCUCUGGUCAGCUGGGCCUGGACGUGUCCUCUGGGCAGCUGGUAGAGGGAGGAGUGCAGGCUCAGGCCAAACAGGCUCUCGUUAACAUGGGGGAGAUCCUCAAAGCUGCCGGCUGCAACUACAGCAAUGUGGUGAAGACAACUGUGCUGCUCGCAGAUAUAAAUGACUUCAACAGUGUCAAUGAGGUCUACAAGACAUCGCAGGCAGGUGUAAUAGACACUGCAGGGCCCGGUGAGCUGUAAAUGGAUACUGCCGUGCAGGCAAACAGGUGUAACCCAACUCGGUGUGGUUCAGGCCCGACUUCGGUAAAGGCCCAAGCUGCCGGGCUACAAUCAGCGCUAAACCGCAAGAAACUUUCCCUGCACAGGAGAAGAAGAAGGGGCAGGACGUGUGUGACCUGGAGCCAUGUAAACCUAUUUCAUGCUUAAGACUCAUGCUAAUAAAUCUUGGGGGAUGUACAGGAACUAACAGACAGGGAAAUGACAUAACAUGGACAAUUAAGGACAACACUAUAAUGUAUAUGUUUUAUCUCUAGUUUUCAGCAGUAACUUUCCUGCCAGAGCUGCCUACCAAGUCGCUGCUCUCCCCAGAGGCGGACUGGUGGAAAUUGAGGCUGUUGCUGUUGCUGGUCCUCUGUUGGACUCCUGACUGACCGACGGCAUCCCAAACAAGUUGUAGUCCACCCGUCAGACGCUCUCAGAUUCAACAGCAUUUGAUUAAACGGCAGUUUCUCUCUUGACAUAAACGA